Molecule: ribosomal RNA, 1290 nt
Filed under: metagenome
Description: SSU rRNA
Rfam family: Eukaryotic small subunit ribosomal RNA
Source: RNAcentral
AUACCGGGCCUUUUUGGGCUUGGUAAUUGGAAUGAGGGAGAGUUAAACGGACCAUCGAGUAUCCAUUGGAGGGCAAGUCUGGUGCCAGCAGCUGCGGUAAUACCAGCUCCAAUAGCGUAUAUUAAAGUUGUUGCAGUUAAAAAGCUCGUAGUUGGACUUGUGUGCGCUGUCCGCGGGUGGCCUGCGCCCAAAAGGGCGUUUCGGUUCGGCCCCGGUGGCGCCUUGAAAUCUGCAGCUGGGGGGACGUUGGCCUUAACUGGUCGGCGACCGCACGCCGGCUGCUCGGUUACUGUGAGAAAAUUAGAGUGUUCAAGGCAGGCAUUGGGUGCAAUUGAAUACAUUAGCAUGGAAUAAUAAAAUAUGGCUCCUGCCGUAUUUUGUUGGUUUUGACUGGUGGGAGUAAUGAUUGAUAGGGACGGUUGGGUGCUAGUAUUGAGCGGCCAGAGGUGAAAUUCAUGGAUUCGCUCAAGACUAACUUAUGCGAAAGCAUUCACCAAGGACGUCCUCUUUAAUCAAGAACGAAAGUUGGGGGAUCGAAGACGAUCAGAUACCGUCGUAGUCUCAACCAUAAACUAUGUCGACUUGGGAUCGGCGGUAGUUUUUUCAUUAAGACACUGUCGGGACCACGGGAGAAAUCAAAGUGUCUGGACUCUGGGGGAAGUAUGGUCGCAAGGCUGAAACUUGAAGGAAUUGACGGAAGGGCACCACCAGGAGUGGAGCCUGCGGCUUAAUUUGACUCAACACGGGGAAACUUACCAGGUCCAGAGAUGUAGAGGAUUGACAGAUUGAAGCUCUUUCUUGAUCACUUCGGUGGUGGUGCAUGGCCGUUCUUAGUUGGUGGAGUGAUUUGUCUGGUUAAUUCCGUUAACGAACGAGACCUCAGCCUGCUAGUGUAGUCGGCUGGAUUGCCUUUGGCGAUCCGUGAUUUCGACUUCUUAGAGGGACAAUCGACGCGCAGUCGAUGGAAGUUUGAGGCAAUAACAGGUCUGUGAUGCCCUUAGAUGUUCUGGGCCGCACGCGCGCUACACUGCUGGGCUCAGCGAGUUUUACUUGGCCGAGAGGCCCGGUUAAUCUUGUGAAAUCCCAGCGUGCUUGGGCUCGCCUCCUGCAACUGGAGGCGCCAACGAGGAAUUCCUAGUAGACGCAGGUCAUCAACCUGCAUCGAUUACGUCCCUGCCCUUUGUACACACCGCCCGUCGUUCCAUAAGAGUGAGGCAUCCGGUGAAUUCUCGGGAGAGCCUGGGCGUGGCCAGCAAUGGUUUGCUCGGGUUUGAACUUGCAUAAACUUGG